Molecule: long non-coding RNA, 405 nt
Filed under: Homo sapiens (human)
Lineage: Eukaryota; Metazoa; Chordata; Mammalia; Primates; Hominidae
Description: HSALNT0243022
Source: RNAcentral
GGCCAAUGUGGAGCCAGUUUGGGCUCCACAGCAGGGUGACUGAUCCAGCCAUGGCAACACUCACAUUUACCUUGUCCCCUGCGGGGCUGGUUCCUCUCCCGGAUCAGUGAGUCCCUGACGCCUUUGGGAGGGGAGGUUGGAGCUGUGAGGGCUGACUCUGGACUGAGCGGGAUAGACGGAUUUGGGCUUCUCUCCCUCAUCCCACCUGGCUAGGUGGUGGUGUUCCUCUUCUUCUUAGGAAGGAAAGAGGAGGUCUGGCCUGUGCUGAGCUUGCAGCUAGAGAAGGACGAACGAACUCUUUGAUUGUCAGGACGGCACAUAUCGGAUCUCCCAGCCUGGUGACUCUUCCGUGGUCUAAUCUGAACACCUCUGGCCUGCCACACCUCUGGCCAGCCUCCAGUUAGC